This 277-nucleotide long non-coding RNA is filed under the name Ananas comosus (pineapple). Its description in RNAcentral is "long non-coding RNA (ACOM_LNC037793)". The record is from RNAcentral. Lineage: Eukaryota; Viridiplantae; Streptophyta; Magnoliopsida; Poales; Bromeliaceae.
UAUAAGCCAAAGCGAUAAGAACAACUAGGAAAUAAAUAUGAAUACUAUUCAACCAUGAUAUCUCUACUUAGCAUGAUUUGCAUAAGUAAGAAGGCAAUUACUACAAGUAUGUGCACAAGAGUAUCCAACAUGCAAAUGCAUAAGUAUGCAACUAAUCCAAUGUCCACAAUGUAAAUAGUAAAGAUGUCAUUGUUUACUAUUCUAGUCAAUGUCCACUUGUCACUUUAAUUAUUUACAGUUCAACUUUGAUAAGACCCACCCGAAGGCUGUCUGGCAU